This 231-nucleotide ribosomal RNA is filed under the name uncultured bacterium. RNAcentral's name for it is "partial 16S ribosomal RNA". It matches the Rfam family "Bacterial small subunit ribosomal RNA", at positions 524 to 753 of the family's 1533-position model. The record is from RNAcentral.
UACGUAGGGUGCAAGCGUUAAUCGGAAUUACUGGGCGUAAAGCGUGCGCAGGCGGCUUUGUAAGUUUGUCGUGAAAUCCCCCGGGCUCAACCUGGGAAUUGCGAUGAAGACUGCAAGGCUAGAAUCUGGCAGAGGGGGGUAGAAUUCCACGUGUAGCAGUGAAAUGCGUAGAGAUGUGGAGGAACACCGAUGGCGAAGGCAGCCCCCUGGGUCAAGAUUGACGCUCAUGCA